This 253-nucleotide ribosomal RNA is filed under the name uncultured bacterium. RNAcentral describes it as "partial 16S ribosomal RNA". It matches the Rfam family "Bacterial small subunit ribosomal RNA", at positions 524 to 776 of the family's 1533-position model. The record is from RNAcentral.
UACGUAGGUGGCUAGCGUUGUCCGGAUUUACUGGGCGUAAAGCGCGCGUAGGCGGUUUGAAAAGUCCAUGGUGAAAUCUCCCGGCUUAACCGGGAGGGGUCUGUGGAUACUCUCAGACUUGAGUACCGUAGAAGAAGAUGGAAUUCCCGGUGUAGUGGUGAAAUGCGUAGAUAUCGGGAGGAACACCAGUGGCGAAAGCGGUCUUCUAGGCGGUAACUGACGCUGAGGCGCGAAAGCGUGGGGAGCAAACCGG